Molecule: long non-coding RNA, 101 nt
Organism: Octopus sinensis (East Asian common octopus)
Lineage: Eukaryota; Metazoa; Mollusca; Cephalopoda; Octopoda; Octopodidae
Exons: 3
Source: RefSeq, a predicted model, not a curated record
UGUUGAAAUUCAAAUAAAGGAGCCUUGAACGUAGGUUAGAAACCGGGUCCUUCUCUAUUGUCACAAAAUCUUGACAUAAAAGCUGACUAAUGACAGACAUA